Molecule: long non-coding RNA, 178 nt
Filed under: Mustela putorius furo (domestic ferret)
Lineage: Eukaryota; Metazoa; Chordata; Mammalia; Carnivora; Mustelidae
Description: lncRNA (ENSMPUG00000027997.1)
Source: RNAcentral
CUAUAGUUCACAUGGAAAUGGAGGCAGGAACUUGGGUGGGAUAUAAGAGAACAGCCUGCAUAUUUGCUGCUUCUUCUACUUGGCUCUCAUGGUGCGGAGGUUUCCAAGAAGAUGGAGCUAAGGCCAACAGCAUAUUUUUGCUUCUUUGGAUCAUCUUGUCUCCCUAACCCUGACUUGG